AUGCCACCACUUCGAAGCAGCUCCCAGCUCCGCCCCCAAGGACCUGACGGUAAUCAGUCGUGAGGGGAGACCCAGAGCUAUUCUGAUUAGCUGGCAACCCCCCAUGGAGACUAACGGACGGAUCAUGGGCUAUAUCCUGUAUUACACCCUGGAUAAGAACAUGCCUAUAGAUGACUGGGUAACUGUGAG
Long non-coding RNA from Oncorhynchus gorbuscha (pink salmon), 189 nucleotides. RefSeq lists it as uncharacterized. The record is from RefSeq and is a predicted model, not a curated record. The transcript has 3 exons. NCBI's taxonomy places the organism in Eukaryota, Metazoa, Chordata, Actinopteri, Salmoniformes, Salmonidae.